GGGGUCGGUUCUGAGGUUGCAUAGAUGGUUGUUGCGGCAUCUGUACCUGCUGAGGCAUCUGCUGUGGCAUUUGCUGAGUCAUCUGCUGAGGCCAUUGCUGCUGGUACUGAGGAAAAGAGGGGACUUGGGGUGCUUGAUUCACCUGAGAUUGUGCUGGCUGUGGUGCCACCCUAGGGAUGUCCUGCAGUUGCUGUGUCCGGUAUUGAGGAUCAGAUGGCAGAUAUUGACUCUGAGGGUGUUGGGUUUGGGCAGUUGCAUUUGGUAACUGGGUUGAAGGCAAGUAAUAAGAUGGCGAUUGGGUAAUAUUCUGUGGUGGGCUUUGUGUGGGUGCUGCCACAGGCUGUUGCUGCUCCACAGGUCUGGUGGAGAGUGCAGGCUGUGGGGCUACUUGAUGAGGUAAGGCAAGAGCCAAUUGCUGGUUAUGCACAUCUGACAUUUUGUCAGGCUUUUUGGGAUCAGAUGCAGGUGUUGCAGCUCUCUCCUCAUUUUGGGAAUGACUUGACGUAGAGGAUUCUUUCUGC
This 521-nucleotide long non-coding RNA is filed under the name Vitis vinifera (wine grape). RNAcentral describes it as "long non-coding RNA (VVIN_LNC003700)". Lineage: Eukaryota; Viridiplantae; Streptophyta; Magnoliopsida; Vitales; Vitaceae. The record is from RNAcentral.